UGUUCACUUCAGGUUCAGCUCCUUAAAGACCAAAAGAGAUGUCUCUCGGUGCUAGACCAAGGGCUGUCCACAAAGACCUGAGUAAAGCAUCUGCAGGACCCUGGUCUUCAUCAUCUAGUCAGCUUGCCCUUGGCAGCCAGACCUCGAACAGGCUCUCAAAUGUUGCCUCUUCUGAUCGCGUUCACAAAUGUCAGUCUUUACACCAGGAGAAAGGCCAGCAAGAGGAACUCCAGGCCCAUCAUGGAGGACGGUCGGAAAUGUCAAGGUGGGACAAAAUCUUCAAACACAGAGACAGUUCUGGGCGUACUCUGAUGCUUUUGCAAAAAUGUUCCUAUAAAAGGGUUUCAUCUUCAAGGAAUUCAUGGAAAAGACUCUGACAAGUACAGGUUUCUGGUAACUGACUAUACUGCUGAACUGAAUGAAUAAGCAUUUUCAGAACUCUAAUGGAAAACUGAUGAACUCUUAAAACUGCUAACAAAAGAUCAAGAUGAAAAAAAAAAUUAAUUACAUGGGACUGAGUGAACUGAUGAGGAUGAUUAUAAUUUUUGUGACUUUCUAUUGAAUAAAAAAAAAAAAAGAAACUACUAAAACUGUUUUGCAAAGUAGCUAUACACAUUUUACACACCCAACAUAAAUGUAUGAUUGUUUCUUCACAUACUCAAUAACAGUUGGUAUUGUUAGUCUUUUUAAAAAUAUCCCUCUUCUCAGUGGGUAUAGAGUGAGAAAGUUCUAGAGAACUUGUGUAUGACAUUGUGCCUGCAGUUAAUAAUAUUAUACUGCAUACUUAAACCUCUUUGAAGAGGGUAUAUAUCAUGUUAUAUGGU
This is a long non-coding RNA of Balaenoptera acutorostrata (minke whale), 824 nucleotides long. RefSeq lists it as uncharacterized. The transcript is spliced from 3 exons. Lineage: Eukaryota; Metazoa; Chordata; Mammalia; Artiodactyla; Balaenopteridae. The record is from RefSeq and is a predicted model, not a curated record.